Vigna umbellata (rice bean) is the source of this 676-nucleotide non-coding RNA. NCBI's taxonomy places the organism in Eukaryota, Viridiplantae, Streptophyta, Magnoliopsida, Fabales, Fabaceae. The record is from RefSeq and is a predicted model, not a curated record.
AAAUCAGGAACCACUGCUUUUCAGCUUAUCUCCCUCCGACCUCGAAACGUGCACUCUCUUAUGCAUUAAUAUUGUCAGUGUUUGUCUGGUUAAGAAUCCAAAACCUGCAUCUGCUCCUUUCCUAUUGAGAUUCUUACAUAUUCUCCUGUGUUUUCCUCAUUUUUUAUGUUGUUUACCUUUUUGAUCAAGAACCAAAAGUUUUGCGAGUGGAAAGAAGUUUUCUAAGGAACAAAAGAAGAAAAAAAAAAAUGAGGUCGAAGUGCAUGGUGAUGAUGCCGUUUACAUUACUGCAAUUCGUAUCGGUUGUGGUGUUUGUUUUGGGAGAGAGAAUGAUUACGAAAGGGGAAAAUACGCAGAAAUAUGAAGGCAGUUUCCUUAGCAAAGCUAUGAACUUCUUAUGGCAAUCGGGGGAAUCAGGUUAUCAACACGUUUGGCCAGAGAUAGAAUUUGGAUGGCGAAUUAUUUUAGGAACUAUAAUAGGAUUUUUUGGAGCAGCAUUUGGAAGUGUAGGAGGUGUUGGUGGUGGCGGCAUAUUCGUUCCUAUGCUUAGCCUUGUUAUUGGCUUUGAUGCAAAAUCCUCCACAGCUAUGUCCAAGUGUAAGAUCUCCACCACCGUUUUAUUUUUGCCACUAUAUUAUAUACUAACAGCUUUAUGAUUUAUUUUUUAUCACCGUUU